AUUGAACGCUGGCGGUAUGCUUAACACAUGCAAGUCGAACGGUAGCAGGCCUUCGGGCGCUGACGAGUGGCGGACGGGUGAGUAAUGCAUAGGAAUCUGCCUAUUAGUGGGGGAUAACGUGGGGAAACUCACGCUAAUACCGCAUACGAUCUACGGAUGAAAGCUGGGGACCUUCGGGCCUGGCGCUAAUAGAUGAGCCUGCGUAGGAUUAGCUAGUUGGUGGGGUAAAAGCUCACCAAGGCGACGAUCCUUAACUGGUUUGAGAGAAUGAUCAGUCAAACUGGAACUGAGACACGGUCCAGACUCCUACGGGAGGCAGCAGUGGGGAAUAUUGGACAAUGGGCGAAAGCCUGAUCCAGCAAUACCGCGUGUGUGAAGAAGGCCUUAGGGUUGUAAAGCACUUUCAAUUGGAAGGAAAACCUCGAAGCUAAUACCUUCGAGUUUGACAUUACCUUUAGAAGAAGCACCGGCUAACUCCGUGCCAGCAGCCGCCGUAA
Molecule: ribosomal RNA, 497 nt
Filed under: uncultured bacterium
Lineage: Bacteria
Description: partial 16S ribosomal RNA
Rfam family: Bacterial small subunit ribosomal RNA
Source: RNAcentral